GAUGGUGCUUGCACUAUCACUUAGCGGCGGACGGGUGAGUAAUGCUUAGGAAUCCGCCUAUUAGUGGGGGACAACAUCUCGAAAGGGAUGCUAAUACCGCAUACGUCCUACGGGAGAAAGCAGGGGAUCACUUGUGACCUUGCGCUAAUAGAUGAGCCUAAGUCGGAUUAGCUAGUUGGUGGGGUAAAGGCCUACCAAGGCGACGAUCUGUAGCGGGUCUGAGAGGAUGAUCCGCCACACUGGGACUGAGACACGGCCCAGACUCCUACGGGAGGCAGCAGUGGGGAAUAUUGGACAAUGGGGGGAACCCUGAUCCAGCCAUGCCGCGUGUGUGAAGAAGGCCUUAUGGUUGUAAAGCACUUUAAGCGAGGAGGAGGCUCUUUUGGUUAAUACCCAAGAUGAGUGGACGUUACUCGCAGAAUAAGCACCGGCUAACUCUGUGCCAGCAGCCGCGGUAAUACAGAGGGUGCAAGCGUUAAUCGGAUUUACUGGGCGUAAAGCGCGCGUAGGCGGCCAAUUAAGUCAAAUGUGAAAUCCCCGAGCUUAACUUGGGAAUUGCAUUCGAUACUGGUUGGCUAGAGUGUGGGAGAGGAUGGUAGAAUUCCAGGUGUAGCGGUGAAAUGCGUAGAGAUCUGGAGGAAUACCGAUGGCGAAGGCAGCCAUCUGGCCUAACACUGACGCUGAGGUGCGAAAGCAUGGGGAGCAAACAGGAUUAGAUACCCUGGUAGUCCAUGCCGUAAACGAUGUCUACUAGCCGUUGGGGCCUUUGAGGCUUUAGUGGCGCAGCUAACGCGAUAAGUAGACCGCCUGGGGAGUACGGUCGCAAGACUAAAACUCAAAUGAAUUGACGGGGGCCCGCACAAGCGGUGGAGCAUGUGGUUUAAUUCGAUGCAACGCGAAGAACCUUACCUGGGCUUGACAUAGU
This 925-nucleotide ribosomal RNA is filed under the name uncultured bacterium. Its description in RNAcentral is "bacterial SSU rRNA". It matches the Rfam family "Bacterial small subunit ribosomal RNA", at positions 72 to 990 of the family's 1533-position model. The record is from RNAcentral.